UGAGUGGUGUUUGGUUUGUUACGGGUGGUUGGCUCUUUGCUUGCGCAACAACUUCUACCUGGCAUACCUCUUCAGUCUUGUGUCAAUGCUUGUAUUGCAUUGAAUGCACGGUGGGUUUCUUGUGUUGCAUGCCUAAUUUAAUGGUAUUGCUUGAUGUAUUGGUUUUCCUUUCGUUUUGCAUUGCCUAUGCGAUGUGAGAUGAACCUUGAAGCAGCCUUUGUGAUCCACUGAUUUGAUGUAUAUGCAUUGAUUUUGUGGCCCAUUGAGUGUUGCUCGGUCUCAUGGAUAUGGAACCUGGUGUGGGCAUGGAAUCUUAAUGGUUCCUUGUUUGCCCAAGUUUAGCUUUUCUAAAACGAUUGUCUAUCAUGUGUUAACAUGCUAGACUACUUCGA
RNAcentral lists this unclassified non-coding RNA (392 nucleotides) under Pseudognaphalium sp. RDS1595. RNAcentral's name for it is "partial external transcribed spacer". Lineage: Eukaryota; Viridiplantae; Streptophyta; Magnoliopsida; Asterales; Asteraceae. The record is from RNAcentral.